This 429-nucleotide ribosomal RNA is filed under the name Actinomycetes bacterium. RNAcentral describes it as "Actinobacteria bacterium partial 16S ribosomal RNA". It matches the Rfam family "Bacterial small subunit ribosomal RNA", at positions 355 to 776 of the family's 1533-position model. Lineage: Bacteria; Bacillati; Actinomycetota; Actinomycetes. The record is from RNAcentral.
UAGGGAAUCUUCCGCAAUGGGCGAAAGCUUGACGGAGCAACGCCGCGUGAGUGAUGAAGGUCUUCGGAUCGUAAAACUCUGUUAUUAGGGAAGAACAAAUGUGUAAGUAACUAUGCACGUCUUGAUGGUACCUAAUCAGAAAGCCACGGCUAACUACGUGCCAGCAGCCGCGGUAAUACGUAGGUGGCAAGUGUUAUCCGGAAUUAUUGGGCGUAAAGCGCGCGUAGGCGGUUUUUUAAGUCUGAUGUGAAAGCCCACGGCUCAACCGUGGAGGGUCAUUGGAAACUGGAAAACUUGAGUGCAGAAGAGGAAAGUGGAAUUCCAUGUGUAGCGGUGAUAUGCGCAGAGAUAUGGAGGAACACCAGUGGCGAAGGCGACUUUCUGGUCUGUAACUGACGCUGAUGUGCGAAAGCGGGGGGAUCAAACAGG